GCCUUCGUAGCUCAGUGGAGCAGAGCACCAGGUUCCGAUCCUGAAGGUCGCUGGUUCGAGUCCAGCCGGGGGCA
Molecule: transfer RNA, 74 nt
Filed under: Dactylosporangium aurantiacum
Lineage: Bacteria; Bacillati; Actinomycetota; Actinomycetes; Micromonosporales; Micromonosporaceae
Also listed under: 1 other name
Description: tRNA-Arg
Rfam family: tRNA
About the family: Transfer RNA (tRNA) molecules are approximately 80 nucleotides in length. Their secondary structure includes four short double-helical elements and three loops (D, anti-codon, and T loops).
Source: RNAcentral